This 586-nucleotide long non-coding RNA is filed under the name Nicotiana benthamiana. RNAcentral's name for it is "long non-coding RNA (NBEN_LNC020820)". Lineage: Eukaryota; Viridiplantae; Streptophyta; Magnoliopsida; Solanales; Solanaceae. The record is from RNAcentral.
UCUAACAAUUCCCCCAAAAAAUAUUCUUCAAGUUUCAUAGAUCUGAAAUUUGAAUUUUAAAAUCCAAAUCCUAGAUCUAGUUCUUCACAAAAACAAAAAACAAGCAAAACAACAGAAAAAUUCAAAAAAGGUACUAUUACAUCGAUUUUUUUAGAAUAAUUACAAGUUAAAACAGUUAAUUCGAGUGCCUAGUGUCCAGAUUCAAUUUCAAGGUCGUUUUGGAUUUUUUUCAAGUUAUUUUGGGUUAUUUCUAGCUGCUGAAGUUCAGAAAUUUUCCUGGGAUUAAUUUUGAAUCAUUUUGGGUUUAUUCAAGUCUAUUUUAGUGGAUUAUUGGUUUUGUGUUUUGGUAUUCCAAUUUCCGACUGAUUCUGGUGUUAUUCGCUAGACUGUACACUUGACGUCGAGCUGUUGUUUGGUAUUUGCUAUUGAUUAUCUUCUUCGUAUUGCACUAAAUCUCCUGGUAUAUUUUUUGGAUUCAAUCUGAUUUAAACCUCAAGUUAAAGGAAUGAAAUAAAGAUGACAUCUAGUUUUACUGUAGAUUUCAGUUGUUUCACGUUAUAUUGUGCUUAUUUGUAUUUAAUGGGAC